AACUUUCUUUAAUGGCAGGGGGUGGGGGUGACCCCUGGGGACUAACCCUGUAUUUCAUUUGAUGUUCUUUAUCAUGACAAACCAGAAUAUAUAUAGAUUAGGGGUGGGGAUCUCGACCAUUUACAAGAUAUUAGAACUUUCUCAAAUGGCAGGGGGUUGGGAUGACCCCUGGGGACUAACCCUGUAUAUCAUUCAAACCAUCUUAGCAUGACAAACCAGAAUAUAUAUGGUUUAGGGGUGGGGAUCUUGACCACUUACAAGAUAUUAGAACUUUCUUAAAUGGCAGGGGGUGGGGGUGACCCCUGGGGACUAACCCUGUAUUUCAUUUGAUGUGCUUUAUCAUGACAAACCAGAAUAUAUAUGGUUAAGGGGUGGGGAUCUCGACCAUUUACAAGCUAUUAGAACUUUCUCAAAUGACAGGGGGUCGGGAUGACCCCUGGGGACUAACCCUGCAUAUCAUUCAAACCAUCUUAGCAUGACAAACCAGAAUAUAUAUGGUUUAGGGGUGGGGAUCUUGACCAUUUACAAGAUAUUAGAACUUUCUUAAAUGGCAGGGGGUGGGGGGUGACCCCUGGGGACUAACCCUGUAUAACAUUUGAUGUGCUUUAUCAUGAAAAACCAGAAUAUAUAUGGUUUAGGGGUGGGGAUCUCGACCGCUUACAAGAUAUUAGAACUUUCUCAAAUGGCAGGGGGUCGGGAUGACCCCUGGGGACUAACCCUGUAUAUCAUUCAAACCAUCUUAGCAUGACAAACCAGAAUAUAUAUGGUUUAGGGGUGGGGAUCUUGACCACUUACAAGGUAUUAGAACUUUCUUAAAUGGCAGGGGGUGGGGUGACCCCUGGGGACUAACCCUGUAUUUCAUUUGAUGUGCUUUAUCAUGACAAACCAGAAUAUAUAUGGUUUAGGGGUGGGGAUCUCGAUCAUUUACAAGAUAUUAGAACUUUCUCAAAUGGCAGGGGGUCGGGAUGACCCUUGGGGACUAACCCUGUAUAUCAUUCAAACCAUCUUAGCAUGACAAACCAGAAUAUAUAUGGUUUAGGGGUGGGGAUCUUGACCACUUACAAGAUAUUAGAACUUUCUUAAAUGGCAGGGGGUGGGGGGUGACCCCUGGGGACUAACCCGGUAUAACAUUUGAUGUGCUUUAUCAUGAAAAACCAGAAUAUAUAUGGUUUAGGGGUGGGGAUCUCGACCAUUUACAAGAUAUUAGAACUUUCUCAAAUGGCAGGGGGUCGGGAUGACCCCUGGGGACUAACCCUGUAUAUCAUUCAAACCAUCUUAGCAUGACAAACCAGAAUAUAUAUGGUUUAGGGGUGGGGAUCUUGACCACUUACAAGGUAUUAGAACUUUCUUAAAUGGCAGGGGGUGGGGGUGACCCCUGGGGACUAACCCUGUAUUUCAUUUGAUGUGCUUUAUCAUGACAAACCAGAAUAUAUAUGGUUUAGGGGUGGGGAUCUCGAUCAUUUACAAGAUAUUAGAACUUUCUCAAAUGGCAGGGGGUCGGGAUGACCCUUGGGGACUAACCCUGUAUAUCAUUCAAACCAUCUUAGCAUGACAAACCAGAAUAUAUAUGGUUUAGGGGUGGGGAUCUUGACCACUUACAAGAUAUUAGAACUUUCUUAAAUGGCAGGGGGUGGGGGUGACCCCUGGGGACUAACCCUGUAUAACAUUUAAUGUGCUUUAUCAUGAAAAACCAGAAUAUAUAUGGUUUAGGGGUGGGGAUCUCGAUCAUUUACAAGAUAUUAGAACUUUCUCAAAUGGCAGGGGGUCGGGAUGACCCCUGGGGACUAACCCUGUAUAUCAUUCAAACCAUCUUAGCAUGACAAACCAGAAUAUAUAUGGUUUAGGGGUGGGGAUCUUGACCACUAACAAGGUAUUAGAACUUUCUUAAAUGGCAGGGGGUGGGGGUGACC
Mytilus californianus (California mussel) is the source of this 1910-nucleotide long non-coding RNA. RefSeq lists it as uncharacterized. NCBI's taxonomy places the organism in Eukaryota, Metazoa, Mollusca, Bivalvia, Mytilida, Mytilidae. The transcript has 3 exons. The record is from RefSeq and is a predicted model, not a curated record.